UUGUUUGGUUGUGUUCAAUACAUAAUUAUAUAGGUCAUGUUAUUUUGAACCUUAUGACGCAAGGGCGUAGCCCUGCAGAAGAGAUCGUGUUAUAAUGAGAACUUGCAAGAAAAUAGCCCUACAGAAAACUCUCAGUCAUUGAUUGACCACUUUCUUUCCAGCCCAAUGAGUUUCGGCUGCUGCUUUGUUUAUUUCGCAACUGUGAAGUUUGUUUACACCGUAUUCCAGCGAACCGAGUCUGCAUGCCUGGUCGUCUGCUCUAGUAACGUCUGGCAGCGAAAAUAUCGUGUUACUGUCAGUAGAAACACUCAACCAAGGUGGAACCAAGGCAAUGGAUGCCUAGUAGGGAUCAGCCGACCGUUAGCCCCUCACUAGCACACACAGAUUAGUUGUUUACCUUGAAGCCUUCUCUGAUCUAUCUUAUAUAUAACUUUUUAAAAAACUUUCUUUGAAGCCUAAAGAUUCAUAGGGAAGGCAAUAUGUGAUCACUUUUGUGAGAUAGAUAGAUAGAUAGAUAGAUAGAUAGAUAGAUAGAUAGAUAGAUAGAUAGAUAGAUAGAUAGAUAGAUAGAUAGACAGA
Biomphalaria glabrata is the source of this 579-nucleotide long non-coding RNA. RefSeq lists it as uncharacterized. The record is from RefSeq and is a predicted model, not a curated record. NCBI's taxonomy places the organism in Eukaryota, Metazoa, Mollusca, Gastropoda, Planorbidae. The transcript is spliced from 3 exons.